RNAcentral lists this ribosomal RNA (497 nucleotides) under uncultured bacterium. Its description in RNAcentral is "partial 16S ribosomal RNA". It matches the Rfam family "Bacterial small subunit ribosomal RNA", at positions 29 to 507 of the family's 1533-position model. The record is from RNAcentral.
AAUGAACGCUGGCGGCAUGCCUAAUACAUGCAAGUCGAGCGAAAACACGAGGUGCUUUCUCCCCUGGCGUUAGCGGCGGACGGGUGAUUAACCCGUGGGUGACCUACCUAUAAGACUGGGUUAACUUCGGGAAACCUGAGCUAAUACCGGAUAAUAUAUUGAACCGCAUGGUUCAAUAGUCAAAGACGGUUUUGCUGUCACUUAUAGAUGGAUCCGCGUCGCAUUAGCUAGUUGGUAAGGUAACGGCUUACCAAGGCAACGAUGCGUAGCCGACCUGAGAGGGUGAUCAGCCACACUGGAACUGAGACACGGUCCAGACUCCUACGGGAGGCAGCAGUAGGGAAUCUUCCGCAAUGGGGGAAAGCCUGACGGAGCAACGCCGCGUGAGUGAUGAAGGUCUUCGGAUCGUAAAGCUCUGUUAGUAGGGAAGAACAAAUGUGUAAGUAACUAUGCACGUCUUGACGGUACCUAAUCAGAAAGCCACGGCUAACUACGUG